RNAcentral lists this ribosomal RNA (1018 nucleotides) under Crax blumenbachii. RNAcentral's name for it is "partial 16S ribosomal RNA". It matches the Rfam family "Bacterial large subunit ribosomal RNA", at positions 960 to 2625 of the family's 2925-position model. Lineage: Eukaryota; Metazoa; Chordata; Aves; Galliformes; Cracidae. The record is from RNAcentral.
ACCUCCUUGUAAUGGAAUUAAGAGCUACUCAAAGGGGGUACAGCUCCUUUGACAAAGAAUACAACCUCCCCUAGCGGAUAACUACCACCCCUUUCUCCCUUGUGGGCCUUAAAGCAGCCACCAACAAAGAAUGCGUCAAAGCUCAUACCUCUAAAAAUCCAGAAAAACACACGACUCCCUUACUUACAGCAGGCCAACCUAUAACAAUAGAAGAAUUAAUGCUAGAAUGAGUAACCUGAGGGCCCCCCCUCCAAAGCGUAAACUUACAUCAAUACAUUAUUAACAGACCACUUAUACCCCCACUUCAACAAGAACACAUAUUCCUCUCCCUGUUAAACCCACCCAGGAACGCACACUGGACGAUUAAAAUCUGCAGAAGGAACUCGGCAAACCCCAAGGCCCGACUGUUUACCAAAAACAUAGCCUUCAGCCAACAACAAGUAUUGAAGGUGAUGCCUGCCCAGUGACAUCAAAGUUCAACGGCCGCGGUAUCCUAACCGUGCAAAGGUAGCGCAAUCAAUUGUCCCAUAAAUCGAGACUUGUAUGAAUGGCUAAACGAGGUCUUAGCUGUCUCCUGCAGAUAAUCGGUGAAAUUGAUACUCUCGUGCAAAAGCGAGAAUGUGAACAUAAGACGAGAAGACCCUGUGGAACUUAAAAAUCAACGACCACCUAACUAAAUACUCCCCCAUACGGGCCCACCCACCAUCAUUAGCGCCUGGCCAGUAUUUUUUGGUUGGGGCGACCUUGGAGAAAAAAAAAUCCUCCAAAUAACCCAGGCCACAACCCUUCACUAAGAGCUACAACUCAAAGUACUAAAAGUCACUAGACCCAAUACAAUUGAUCAAUGGACCAAGCUACCCCAGGGAUAACAGCGCAAUCCCCUCCGAGAGCCCAUAUCGACAAGGGGGUUUACGACCUCGAUGUUGGAUCAGGACAACCUAAUGGUGCAGCCGCUAUUAAGGGUUCGUUUGUUCAACGUUUAAAAGUCCUACGUGAUCUGAGUUCAGACCGGGGCAAU